GUGGUCACUUGUUCAGCACGUAUACUAAAAUUGGAAUGAUACAGAGAAGAUUAGCAAUGUACUGUGCAAUGAUAACACUCAAAUUUGUGAAGCAUCUCAUAUUUUU
Molecule: non-coding RNA, 106 nt
Organism: Pteropus alecto (black flying fox)
Lineage: Eukaryota; Metazoa; Chordata; Mammalia; Chiroptera; Pteropodidae
Source: Rfam